RNAcentral lists this ribosomal RNA (393 nucleotides) under Kiwa sp. AAR. RNAcentral describes it as "partial 16S ribosomal RNA". Lineage: Eukaryota; Metazoa; Arthropoda; Malacostraca; Decapoda; Kiwaidae. The record is from RNAcentral.
GUAGCAUAAUCAUUUGUCUUUUAAUUAAAGACUUGAAUGAACGGUAGAACGAGAAAUAAGCUGUCUCUUUAAAAAAAAAUAAAAUUUUACUUUUAAGUGAAAAGGCUUAAAUAAAUUAAAAAGACGAUAAGACCCUAUAAAUCUUUAUAUUAAUAAUUUUUAUUUUUAAAUUAUAAAUAAAAAUAAAAUAAAAAUUAUAAUAUUUUAUUGGGGAGAUAUAAAUAUAAUUUUUAACUAUUUUAAUAUUAUAACAAUAAUAUUUGAUUUACUAUUAUGAUCCUUCUUAAAGAAUAAAAAAUCAAGUUACUUUAGGGAUAACAGCGUUAUCUUUUUUAAGAGUUCUUAUCGAAAAAAAAGUUUACGACCUCGAUGUUGAAUUAAAAAAUCCAUAUA